AUGGUCAAACUCGACAUUCAACGCGCCUUUGAUACCGUGUCAUGGGAGUUCCUGCUUGAGCUGCUUGUUGCGAGAGGAUUUGGGAGAGGAUUCACCAACUGUCUGUCAGCACUUCUCAGCUCCUCUUCAACAAGGAUCCUUAUCAAUGGUGAUCUAUCUGAACCGAUCAAUUUAGUGAAGGGGCUAAGGCAGAGAGACCCGCUAUCACCGCUCCUGUUCGUGCUGGUCAUUGACUGCCUUGCUAUGCUCAUCGACAAGGCGGUGACAGCCGGAAUUCUAGGGCCGAUCGGCAAACAACAGCUGCCCUUCAGGCUUUCUCUGUAUGCAGAAGAUGCAAUCUUGUUCAUCAACCCAUGCCGCAAGGAGGUACUUGCACUGACACAAAUUCUCAAGCUCUUCGGAGAAGCUACGGGCCUGCACACUAACUUUGCAAAAUCUUCGGUCUCCACUAUCUGUUGCAAUGGGAUCGACCUCCAAGAACUUCUUCAAGACUUGGGCUGCCCCAUCAAGGAGUUUCCUUGCACCUAUCUGGGCAUGCCACUGACGGACAAGAAACUGAAGAAGAAUGACCUUCAGCUGAUCUGUGACAAGCUCAUUGCAAGGAUGAAGGGUUGGAAGCUUGCCUUUCUUUCCCUUGAUGAACGGCUGGAUCUGGUCAGGACUGUGCUCUCGGUGAUGCCGAUCUUUCAAAUGCUCACCUUGAUAUUACCUGCUUGGCUGGCCAAGCUGAUCGACAAGGUUCGUCAUGGAUUCCUCUGGGAGGGUAGUGAAGUGGCGGCCGGGGGCAAAUGCCUGGUCAACUGGGGUACUGUAUGUCGGCCAAAGGAGUUCGGAGGGCUCGGCAUCAUCAACCUGACAGCCCAAAGUCAUGCCCUACGGAUGAGGUGGCUGUGGCUCUCAUGGAACGACAGCAACAAGGCAUGGCAGGGGCUGGAUUUGCCUAUCGACCCUUCGGUUAGAUCACUGUUCAACUGUUGGGGAACGUUGCAGAAAAUUAAAAUUUUUCCUACGGUUUCACCAAGAUCCAUCUAUGAGUUCAUCUAA
Molecule: ribosomal RNA, 1044 nt
Filed under: Triticum aestivum (bread wheat)
Lineage: Eukaryota; Viridiplantae; Streptophyta; Magnoliopsida; Poales; Poaceae
Description: partial small subunit ribosomal RNA
Source: RNAcentral